Molecule: non-coding RNA, 54 nt
Organism: Salmo salar (Atlantic salmon)
Lineage: Eukaryota; Metazoa; Chordata; Actinopteri; Salmoniformes; Salmonidae
Source: Rfam
UGGGCCAAGAAUUGUAAGUCGCUCUGGAUAAGAGCGUCUGCUAAAUGACUAAAA